This 345-nucleotide long non-coding RNA is filed under the name Carica papaya (papaya). RNAcentral describes it as "long non-coding RNA (CPAP_LNC007998)". The record is from RNAcentral. Lineage: Eukaryota; Viridiplantae; Streptophyta; Magnoliopsida; Brassicales; Caricaceae.
AGGGUAAGUGGUUGUGGAGAUUCAUGAAAGAGGAAUGUGUGCUUUGGAGAAUUUUGAUAACAACAAAAUUUGGUAUUGAUAAGAGAGGUGGUUUGCUAGAGGAGGGUCAAGACCGCAUGAGAAAGGAUUAUGGAAAAAAACAGAGUGGGCCAAGAUAAGUUUCAGGUGCGCAUCAGGUGGAAGGUUGGCAAGGGAGACAAAAUCAGAUUGUGGAAGGAUCUGUAACUGGAAGGUGGUACCCUCAGAAACUAGUACCUUCAAAUUUUUGCCAUAAUUUAGCAGAACAAUAUCAAAAUUUGUGACUCUUUCAUGAAAGUGGACAGGAGGGAUAAGGAAUGGCAAGUU